GGCGGGCAUCGCGGCGGCGGUGGGGGCCGAGGCGGCGCUGUGGCUGCUGCAAAGCCGGGUGUUCGACUUCCCGUGGACGCCG
This 82-nucleotide transfer RNA is filed under the name Acinetobacter baumannii. RNAcentral's name for it is "tRNA-His(gtg)". RNAcentral also lists the same sequence under 2 other names. Lineage: Bacteria; Pseudomonadati; Pseudomonadota; Gammaproteobacteria; Moraxellales; Moraxellaceae. The record is from RNAcentral.